Molecule: unclassified non-coding RNA, 819 nt
Filed under: Nilaparvata lugens (brown planthopper)
Lineage: Eukaryota; Metazoa; Arthropoda; Insecta; Hemiptera; Delphacidae
Description: uncharacterized LOC111061182, transcript variant X3
Source: RNAcentral
UGGUUUGUUUGAAUUAUUGAACCUGCUGAAUAUCGAAAGUAAUCAGCUGUUUUUGAAAGCUAUUCAUGUUUUCAUCGAGCCAGUUUUCCACAGGAGCUGGAAAAUUUGUCUGCGUCUGGAAAAUACACAAGAAGUUUAACAUGGAUAAUAAAGUAUAUUUGGCAAAAGCCAAUAUCUUUUGUAGUGGAAACUAAAUCUACCGUGUUAUUUUUCAUCAAGUCUGGGCAUGUCAACAUGAGAAAAUGAGAUACCUUCUAUUGGAAAUUCCUGCACUCGUUAUUUUUAUCUCAUUGAGAAGUGUGGCAUCAAUUAAUUGCUACACUUGUUCAUCACAUAAUGGCAGCAAUCCUCAUUGUGAAGAUCCUUUCAAUCCUGCGAUGUCAACAUACAAAGAAAAAUGUAUGGUUCCCAAGGCCGGUCACAUAGGACUUUUUCCUGCUAAUUUCUGCAUUAAAAUUGACGGCAGGAAUGUUAGGCCAACUGGUUGUUAUUAUUUGUCAACAAUAAUAGUUAUUUCUCUCUUUACACCAACUUGAUUGAAACAGUGAAAGGACAUUCUUCCAAAUAGGACUGAUGAAAUCGGUGAAAACGAAAGAGGUGACUGUGAUCCGAGCCUGCGUAAUGAAAUCAAUGGACUCACAGUGUGGAGGCUUCAAAUAUGAAGACAUUAUGAUGAAGGGCUGCAUACAAUCGUGUGAUUAUGAUGGCUGCAACAGUGCACUCCAUUUCUUUCAACUGAAUCGCAAAGUUUUAGUGUCUAUCAUGUUUUUCCACCUAUCAAGAUGUUUAAUUCAAUUUUUGUAAAAGUUUUAUAUUUUU